ACGUUUAGCGAUGGAUAUUUCGGCUCGGGCAACGACGAAGAGCCCAGCGAAGUGCGAUAAGCACUGCGAAUUGCACAAUUCCGCGAGCCAAUUGAAAUUUGAAUGCAUGCUGUGCAUUCGGGCAGGCCUGAAGGCAUGCCUGCUUCAGUGUC
Molecule: ribosomal RNA, 152 nt
Filed under: Kryptoperidinium foliaceum
Lineage: Eukaryota; Dinophyceae; Peridiniales; Kryptoperidiniaceae
Description: 5.8S ribosomal RNA
Rfam family: 5.8S ribosomal RNA
About the family: 5.8S ribosomal RNA (5.8S rRNA) is a component of the large subunit of the eukaryotic ribosome. It is transcribed by RNA polymerase I as part of the 45S precursor that also contains 18S and 28S rRNA.
Source: RNAcentral